This 253-nucleotide ribosomal RNA is filed under the name uncultured bacterium. RNAcentral describes it as "partial 16S ribosomal RNA". It matches the Rfam family "Bacterial small subunit ribosomal RNA", at positions 524 to 776 of the family's 1533-position model. The record is from RNAcentral.
UACGGGGGGGGCAAGCGUUGUUCGGAAUUACUGGGCGUAAAGGGCGCGUAGGCGGCCUUCUAAGUCGGACGUGAAAUCCCUCGGCUUAACCGAGGAAUUGCGUCCGAUACUGAAAGGCUUGAAUCCGGGAGAGGGAUGUGGAAUUCCAGGUGUAGCGGUGAAAUGCGUAGAUAUCUGGAGGAACACCGGUGGCGAAGGCGGCAUCCUGGACCGGCAUUGACGCUGAGGCGCGAAAGCUAGGGGAGCAAACGGG